This 468-nucleotide ribosomal RNA is filed under the name uncultured bacterium. RNAcentral describes it as "partial 16S ribosomal RNA". It matches the Rfam family "Bacterial small subunit ribosomal RNA", at positions 28 to 507 of the family's 1533-position model. The record is from RNAcentral.
GAUGAACGCUAGCUACGUGCUUAACACAUGCAAGUCGAACGGCAAGGUCCUGCUAUCUUGGUAUGCUCGAGUGGCGAACGGGUAAGUAACACGAACGUAUCUUGAACUUGACUUUGGGUUUUCUUCAGGCAACUGGGGCUAAUACCGGUUAAGGGCUCCUGCUGCAUGGCGGGGGUUGACAUGUUUCGGGGGAUGUGGAUGGACUAGCGGCUUAUCUUCUUGUUGGUGGGGUAGUGGCUUACCAAGGAUUUGGCGGGUAGCCGGCCUGAGAGGGGGACCGGCCACAUUGGGACAGAGAUACGGCAGAGACUCCUACGGGAGACAGAAGUGUGGAAUAGAGCACAAUGGGCGGAAGUCGGAUGCAGCAACGCCGCGUGCUGGAUUACGGCCUUCUGUUAUUAAACCGCAUUCGCCUGUGACGAAGCGUGUGUGAAGGUAAUUUAUAAAUAAGCACCGGCUAACUACGUG